RNAcentral lists this ribosomal RNA (1366 nucleotides) under Streptomyces sp. 8SM17. RNAcentral describes it as "16S ribosomal RNA". It matches the Rfam family "Bacterial small subunit ribosomal RNA", at positions 63 to 1441 of the family's 1533-position model. The record is from RNAcentral. Lineage: Bacteria; Bacillati; Actinomycetota; Actinomycetes; Kitasatosporales; Streptomycetaceae.
CGAACGAUGAACCGCUUUCGGGCGGGGAUUAGUGGCGAACGGGUGAGUAACACGUGGGCAAUCUGCCCUGCACUCUGGGACAAGCCCUGGAAACGGGGUCUAAUACCGGAUAUGACCGUCUGCCGCAUGGUGGAUGGUGUAAAGCUCCGGCGGUGCAGGAUGAGCCCGCGGCCUAUCAGCUUGUUGGUGAGGUAGUGGCUCACCAAGGCGACGACGGGUAGCCGGCCUGAGAGGGCGACCGGCCACACUGGGACUGAGACACGGCCCAGACUCCUACGGGAGGCAGCAGUGGGGAAUAUUGCACAAUGGGCGAAAGCCUGAUGCAGCGACGCCGCGUGAGGGAUGACGGCCUUCGGGUUGUAAACCUCUUUCAGCAGGGAAGAAGCGAAAGUGACGGUACCUGCAGAAGAAGCGCCGGCUAACUACGUGCCAGCAGCCGCGGUAAUACGUAGGGCGCAAGCGUUGUCCGGAAUUAUUGGGCGUAAAGAGCUCGUAGGCGGCUUGUCACGUCGGUUGUGAAAGCCCGGGGCUUAACCCCGGGUCUGCAGUCGAUACGGGCAGGCUAGAGUUCGGUAGGGGAGAUCGGAAUUCCUGGUGUAGCGGUGAAAUGCGCAGAUAUCAGGAGGAACACCGGUGGCGAAGGCGGAUCUCUGGGCCGAUACUGACGCUGAGGAGCGAAAGCGUGGGGAGCGACAGGAUUAGAUACCUGGUAGUCACGCCGUAAACGGUGGGCACUAGGUGUGGGCAACAUUCCACGUUGUCCGUGCCGCAGCUAACGCAUUAAGUGCCCCGCCUGGGGAGUACGGCCGCAAGGCUAAAACUCAAAGGAAUGACGGGGGCCCGCACAAGCGGCGGAGCAUGUGGCUUAAUCGACGCAACGCGAAGAACCUUACCAAGGCUUGACAUACACCGGAAACGUCUGGAGACAGGCGCCCCCUUGUGGUCGGUGUACAGGUGGUGCAUGGCUGUCGUCAGCUCGUGUCGUGAGAUGUUGGGUUAAGUCCCGCAACGAGCGCAACCCUUGUCCCGUGUUGCCAGCAGGCCCUUGUGGUGCUGGGGACUCACGGGAGACCGCCGGGGUCAACUCGGAGGAAGGUGGGGACGACGUCAAGUCAUCAUGCCCCUUAUGUCUUGGGCUGCACACGUGCUACAAUGGCCGGUACAAUGAGCUGCGAUACCGUGAGGUGGAGCGAAUCUCAAAAAGCCGGUCUCAGUUCGGAUUGGGGUCUGCAACUCGACCCCAUGAAGUCGGAGUCGCUAGUAAUCGCAGAUCAGCAUUGCUGCGGUGAAUACGUUCCCGGGCCUUGUACACACCGCCCGUCACGUCACGAAAGUCGGUAACACACCGAAGCCGGUGGCCCAACCC